This 1155-nucleotide long non-coding RNA is filed under the name Capsicum annuum. Its description in RNAcentral is "long non-coding RNA (CANN_LNC015748)". The record is from RNAcentral. Lineage: Eukaryota; Viridiplantae; Streptophyta; Magnoliopsida; Solanales; Solanaceae.
AUAAAUUACGCAAAUCCCCAAGUAUUAGGGCCAUUAAUAAAUAAAAUCCCAUACCUUUUAAAAAAUUAUAGAAAAUCUCAGAAAUUGAAAAUUGCUCUUGAUACAUAUUUAAUGCAGGCUACUCAACCAUUGUAGCUCAAAAUUACGGGAUUUCAUCUUUUAAAAUCUUCUCCCAAAAAAUUUCAGUAAUCUCUCUCCCACAAUUGUAUUUUUUCCCAAUACAAAUCAUUUCUCAACACCAUUAAUGAAGACCUAGUUGAAUUGAACCUCACUUCACUGUUAAACUCCGUCCAUUGACACCAUACACAAACCUUAAAUUUGUGGGAGAGAAUUGAAUUUCACCUUACUCUCACUUCGCCAUUGAUUUCCUCCACUGAUUAUUGCACAGAUCUAUGACCCUCGUCGAAUAAUCAACAAUUUUAACCGCCAUACUCAAUGUAAACACAACAACCCGUCAACUACCCUUCACCAUUAAUCCAUCAAUCUUUAAUCGAUUUUGAUUUUUUUUUUAAUCCUUUAGGCCAAUAAAUAUUAAGAGAAAAAGGAGAAAUUGAACAAUGUUGCUAGAUUUUCGAUUAGAAUGGCAAAGACGGUGGUGGUGGUGGUAGAGGAGGAAUUAUUGAUGUAUUUGGUUGCUUUUAAAUGAAGAUUGAGAGAGUUAAUGGGUAGUGUUGAAGAUGGGAAAGAAGAUCAAUGCAUUAAAAUAAAGUUCAUGAUACAUAUAUAUGUAUCAUUAUGAAUAUGUAUCAUAGUAAAAAGAAUAUAUUUUUUAUUCAUGAUACAUAUGAAUGUACUUGCAUGCUAAUAUAUCAUAGUCUACUUAAUUCAUAUGUAAUAUGGAGCUUAGUAUUUGUUAAUAAAACAUGCUAAUGUAUCUCCGUGCAUGUGUAUCGUAGUAAAAAGAAUGUAAUUUUUGUUCAUGAUAAUAUGAAUGUACUUGCAUGUCAAUGUAACAUAGUCUACUAGCUCCUUGAAUGAUAUGUAGAUCAAUGAAUGAUAUGUAACAUUUUCUUUCAUGGCAUAUGAAAAAUCUUGUAUAUGAAUAACAAUGUUGCUAUAAUAUAUUAGGUAAUGAUACAUAUUUCAGAAGCAUAACUCUUUUCCACAAGUCAAUGAUACAUAUGUACUAAGUAAAAUCAUUUGAUAUAAUAUUAA